This 391-nucleotide unclassified non-coding RNA is filed under the name soil metagenome. RNAcentral's name for it is "partial contains 5.8S ribosomal RNA, internal transcribed spacer 2, and large subunit ribosomal RNA". The stretch from base 1 to 122 matches the Rfam family "5.8S ribosomal RNA", at positions 35 to 154 of the family's 154-position model. The record is from RNAcentral.
GAUGAAGAACGUAGUGAAAUGCGAUACUUGGUGUGAAUUGCAGAAUCCCGUGAACCAUCGAGUCUUUGAACGCAAGUUGCGCCCGAAGCCAUUAGGCCGAGGGCACGCCUGCCUGGGCGUCACACGUCGUUGCCCCCCCAUCUACUCCUUCGGGAUUGCGGGGGGCGGAUGAUGGCCUCCCGUGCGCCUCGUCGCGCGGUUGGCAUAAAUGCCAAGUCCUCGGCGACGCACGCCGCGACAAUCGGUGGUUGCGAAACCUCGGUUGCCCGUCGUGUGCGGUCGUCGCGCAUCGAGGGCUCGAAAAAAUUGCCGGGCUCCGGCUCGGCUUUCAACGCGACCCCAGGUCAGGCGGGGUUACCCGCUGAAUUUAAGCAUAUCAAUAAGCGGAGGA